CACACAAACACACUCCUCUCUCACUCCCUCACACUCUCCCACCGGUGUACCUCCUCACCACCAUCUCUACCAUCAUUUUUCCCGCAAGCACCUCCAUAUCUUUUAUAUGAGGUUCUAGCUAAUCUCAUUUGGAGCUUGAGGAAUUAGGCUUUGCGGGUUGCGAGUGAUUACCCUGUCUUUGUGAUGAUGUCUUUGUGACGUGUGAUUACCCCAUCUUUGUGACGACAAGUCAAGUUGGAGGCUCUCACUUUGCCUGACACAGGUAAAGCCUUGAGUGUGUGGGUAAGGCUAGGCAAGGCCAAGAGACCACAUGCAAGAGAGGUACUACAAGGCGCAUUAACCCCUGCUGCCCAUAAAAGGGAUAGGUAAAUCCUUGAGGGUGUAGGUGAGGCUAGGCAAGGCCAAUAGAACACAUGCCAAAAAAGGUGUGGAGGAAAAGCUCAUUUGAUUUUGGAUCUAGACUACGAGAAUUACCAAUUAAAGGUAAGUGGACUUCAGAACAUGACGUCUCUCAAGACAUGUAUAUUCAUAUAUAUUCUUGGUAAAAAUAUAUUUAUAUAUACAUAAUUGCAAAAGUGAAGUUUCAAAAACUUAUACCAUUAUCAAUGCUUUGUACACAUACCUAAAUUUUAUUAUUUCUUAAGUGUUACCUUGAAACUGUAAGUGUUAAGAAUGACUCAAAACUAUAUUUUUGAGAAAGUAUUUGUUAUAUGAUAUAUGAUUGGUAUUGACAAUAUUGUAAUAAAGUAAGAACGUUUUCAAACAGUCUACAACCUUUGCCAACACAGGGUUAAGUGUUGGCCUUCGGCCAAUGUAGUGUUAUUGUGGUGUAGUGUAGUGUUAUUGUUUGCUCUUUGGAGCCAGUGUUAUUGUUUUCUCUUUGGAGCCAGUGUUGCCUCUAUAAGGUUAGUGUUAUUGUUCCCUAUGGGAAUCACCCACCGAGUGUUUAGCAGCUUAUGUCUUUGUUUGGCUAAUAUUUAAUGUUUUCCAUAUCAAACUAUUGUUUUAUUGUGAUCAACCUUUAGAAGUGGAAAAAUUGUUUAUUACUAUAAUAUAUUGUUUCUACCUAUAUAGUAUAUUUUGGCUA
Long non-coding RNA from Quercus lobata, 1087 nucleotides. RefSeq lists it as uncharacterized. The transcript has 4 exons. NCBI's taxonomy places the organism in Eukaryota, Viridiplantae, Streptophyta, Magnoliopsida, Fagales, Fagaceae. The record is from RefSeq and is a predicted model, not a curated record.